UAUCGGAACGUGCCCAGUAAUGGGGAAUAACUAGCCGAAAGGUUAGCUAAUACCGCAUACGACCUACGGGUGAAAGCAGGGGAUCUUAGGACCUUGCGUUAUUGGAGCGGCCGAUAUCUGAUUAGCUUGUUGGUGGGGUAAAAGCCUACCAAGGCAACGAUCAGUAGCUGGUCUGAGAGGACGAUCAGCCACACUGGAACUGAGACACGGUCCAGACUCCUACGGGAGGCAGCAGUGGGGAAUUUUGGACAAUGGGGGAAACCCUGAUCCAGCCAUCCCGCGUGAGUGAAGAAGGCCUUCGGGUUGUAAAGCUCUUUCGAAAGUGAAGAAAACUUAUUUCGUAAUAUGUUAUAAGUAUGACGGUAACUUUAGAAGAAGCACCGGCUAACUACGUGCCAGCAGCCGCGGUAAUACGUAGGGUGCGAGCGUUAAUCGGAAUUACUGGGCGUAAAGCGUGCGCAGGCGGUUUUGUAAGUCAGAUGUGAAAUCCCCGAGCUUAACUUGGGAACUGCGUUUGAAACUACAAGACUAGAGUGUGUCAGAGGGG
RNAcentral lists this ribosomal RNA (547 nucleotides) under proteobacterium MS-M-86. RNAcentral's name for it is "bacterial SSU rRNA". It matches the Rfam family "Bacterial small subunit ribosomal RNA", at positions 116 to 659 of the family's 1533-position model. Lineage: Bacteria; Pseudomonadati; Pseudomonadota. The record is from RNAcentral.